CGCAAGGAAGAUCGAGGGAUGCAUAACCUGUUCUCCUUAAAAAGAAAGUCAUCAUGUAUCAAGAACCCAUCAGUAGGCUGGUGAGUCUGGACUCUAGCCCAUAUAUCAGCAAAAUCAUCAUCUGUAGCAUACAAAUCCUUCAGGAAUUCAAAACCUACAACCUCCUGAUUAACUGUAAUCAACAGAGCAGCCCUCCUACUCAAAGCAUCUGCCACCUUAUUACUAUGGCCAGCCUUAUGUUUGAUGACAUAAUGAAAGGCUCCAAAGUAAGCUGCCC
Molecule: long non-coding RNA, 277 nt
Filed under: Manihot esculenta (cassava)
Lineage: Eukaryota; Viridiplantae; Streptophyta; Magnoliopsida; Malpighiales; Euphorbiaceae
Description: long non-coding RNA (MESC_LNC000375)
Source: RNAcentral